This 496-nucleotide ribosomal RNA is filed under the name uncultured bacterium. RNAcentral's name for it is "bacterial SSU rRNA". It matches the Rfam family "Bacterial small subunit ribosomal RNA", at positions 35 to 507 of the family's 1533-position model. The record is from RNAcentral.
CGGACGAACGGCUGGCGGGCGUGGAUUAGGCAUGCAAGUCGGACGGUAGGGCUUUAUCGUAAGAUAGAGUUUGAGAGUGGCGAACGGGUGAGUAACACGUAGGAAUCUACCCUUAAGACGGGGACAACCCAGGGAAACUUGGGCUAAUACCGGAUGAGAGUGCGAGAGAUUGCAUUUAAAAGGAUGGCGAAAGUUGUCGCUUAGGGAUGAGCCUGCGGUCUAUUAGUUAGUUGGUGAGGUAAGAGCUCACCAAGGCGAUGAUAGAUAGGCGGCCUUAACGGGUGGUCGCCCACACUGGAACUGAGACACGGUCCAGACUCCUACGGGAGGCAGCAGUGGGGAAUAUUGCACAAUGGGCGAAAGCCUGAUGCAGCAACGCCGCGUGAGGGAUGACGGCCUUCGGGUUGUAAAGCUCUUUCGGCCGGGAAGAAAUCGCAUGGGUUAAUACCCUGUGUGGAUGACGGUACCGGAAUAAGAAGCACCGGCUAACUACGUG